CACAGAGACUUCAGCAUGAAUGGUCCUCCAUGUAGUUAUGCAAACUGAUGGACCUCUCCUUACUCUAAACCAUCUGAGGACUUUACGUUAUAUUAAGUACUUUAUUCUCAAAACAAUAUAGAGAAACGCAUGUGCACAAAGACCUUGAAAGAGAAAACUUGAUCAUUACAAAACUCAUUAAAUAUCAUCGAGCUGAAAGCAAGAAUGUGUUAUCUUUUCAUACUGCAUCUUGGCUGCCUCUGAAGUAACAAAGAAAAUUUUUGUUUUUGCUUGUUUCUUUUAAAGUACGGCUCUGAGGAAAUGAUUUCUGUAAUAAUUAAGGAUCCCAGUCAUUGGAUUUAGAGCUCACCAUAAAUCCAGGAUGAUCCAUUUCAAGAUCCUUAAAAACAUCUGCAAAAACCCUAUUUCCAAAUAAGGUAACA
Molecule: long non-coding RNA, 422 nt
Organism: Diceros bicornis minor
Lineage: Eukaryota; Metazoa; Chordata; Mammalia; Perissodactyla; Rhinocerotidae
Exons: 3
Source: RefSeq, a predicted model, not a curated record